GUAGGGAAUAUUGGGCAAUGGAGGCAACUCUGACCCAGCCAUGCCGCGUGCAGGAUGACGGCCCUCUGGGUUGUAAACUGCUUUUAUACGGGAAGAAAAAAUACUACGUGUAGUAUACUGACGGUACCGUAAGAAUAAGGAUCGGCUAACUCCGUGCCAGCAGCCGCGGUAAUACGGAGGAUCCAAGCGUUGUCCGGAUUUCUUGGGUUUAAAGGGUGCGUAGGCGGAUCUUUAAGUCAGUGGUGAAAGCCUGCAGCUUAACUGUAGAAUUGCCAUUGAAACUGAAGAUCUUGAAUGUGGUUAAAGUAGGCGGAAUGUAUCAUGUAGCGGUGAAAUGCUUAGAUAUGAUACAGAACACCGAUAGCGAAGGCAGCUUGCUGAACCAUUAUUGCCGCUGAGGCACGAAAGCGUGGGGAGCGAACAGGAUUAGAUACCCUAGUAGUCC
RNAcentral lists this ribosomal RNA (445 nucleotides) under uncultured bacterium. RNAcentral's name for it is "partial 16S ribosomal RNA". It matches the Rfam family "Bacterial small subunit ribosomal RNA", at positions 354 to 796 of the family's 1533-position model. The record is from RNAcentral.